GACAUAGGAGGCCGUUAAGAUAGCCAAGGAGACUGCCUGACACCUCAUAGAGAGCGAGUGUCGAUCAGAAACAGAUCGACGACCCUCGAUCACUGCACUAAGAAGCAGGCAAGUCAUCCUUGGCUACUCAACUAUCCCUCCCAUUU
Molecule: non-coding RNA, 146 nt
Organism: Spinacia oleracea (spinach)
Lineage: Eukaryota; Viridiplantae; Streptophyta; Magnoliopsida; Caryophyllales; Amaranthaceae
Source: Rfam